AGUAGAUGCUCCCUUCAAACUUAUUGCACUUGAGCAAUAUUUCUAUUUAAUUUUUAAUUCAUGCAUUACUAUGCCAAAAAGAAGUGGAGGUUUGUGAUGAAAAAAGGCACCCCAAGAAUAAAGAGCUGCAGCCUUAGUGAUACAUAAGUUUCUGCAUUUGAGAGAAAUCAUGCUUUGCCCCUUCUUGCCUUGAAAGUUAGUAAUGCAAUUCUUUUACCCUAAUGGAUGGAUUGUCUGUAAAUAAUCAAAAUUUGGCAAAUAGGUAUCUAAA
This 271-nucleotide unclassified non-coding RNA is filed under the name Hevea brasiliensis (rubber tree). The record is from RNAcentral. Lineage: Eukaryota; Viridiplantae; Streptophyta; Magnoliopsida; Malpighiales; Euphorbiaceae.